GAUGAACGCUGGCGGCGUGCCUAAUACAUGCAAGUCGAGCGAACGGACGAGAAGCUUGCUUCUCUGAUGUUAGCGGCGGACGGGUGAGUAACACGUGGAUAACCUACCUAUAAGACUGGGAUAACUUCGGGAAACCGGAGCUAAUACCGGAUGAUAUUUUGAACCACAUGGUUCAAAAGUGAAAGACGGUCUUGCUGUCACUUAUAGAUGGAUCCGCGCUGCAUUAGCUAGUUGGUAAGGUAACGGCUUACCAAGGCAACGAUGCAUAGCCGACCUGAGAGGGUGAUCGGCCACACUGGAACUGAGACACGGUCCAGACUCCUACGGGAGGCAGCAGUAGGGAAUCUUCCGCAAAGGGCGAAAGCCUGACGGAGCAACGCCGCGUGAGUGAUGAAGGUCUUCGGAUCGUAAAACUCUGUUAUUAGGGAAGAACAUAUGUGUAAGUAACUGUGCACAUCUUGACGGUACCUAAUCAGAAAGCCACGGCUAACUACGUG
RNAcentral lists this ribosomal RNA (497 nucleotides) under uncultured bacterium. RNAcentral's name for it is "partial 16S ribosomal RNA". It matches the Rfam family "Bacterial small subunit ribosomal RNA", at positions 28 to 507 of the family's 1533-position model. The record is from RNAcentral.